RNAcentral lists this ribosomal RNA (547 nucleotides) under uncultured bacterium. Its description in RNAcentral is "bacterial SSU rRNA". It matches the Rfam family "Bacterial small subunit ribosomal RNA", at positions 777 to 1329 of the family's 1533-position model. The record is from RNAcentral.
AAUAGAUACCCCGGUAGUCCACGCCCUAAACGAUGCUCACUAGGUGUUGGGGAAGCGAUUCCUUGGUACCGUAGCUAACGCGUGAAGUGAGCCGCCUGGGGAGUACGGCCGCAAGGUUAAAACUCAAAGGAAUUGACGGGGACCCGCACAAGCGGUGGAUGAUGUGGAUUAAUUCGAUGCAACGCGAACAACCUUACCUACCCUUGACAUGUCCGGAAGCCUGCUGAAAGGUGGGUGUGCUCGAAAGAGAACCGGAACACAGGUGCUGCAUGGCUGUCGUCAGCUCGUGUCGUGAGAUGUUGGGUUAAGUCCCGCAACGAGCGCAACCCUUGUCCCUAGUUGCUACGCAAGGGCACUCUAGGGAGACUGCCGGUGACAAACCGGAGGAAGGUGGGGAUGACGUCAAGUCCUCAUGGCCCUUAUGGGUAGGGCUUCACACGUCAUACAAUGGACGGUACAGAGGGUUGCCAACCCGCGAGGGGGAGCCAAUCCCAGAAAGCCGUUCGUAGUCCGGAUCGCAGUCUGCAACUCGACUGCGUGAAGUCGG